This 70-nucleotide transfer RNA is filed under the name Dipodomys ordii (Ord's kangaroo rat). It matches the Rfam family "tRNA". From Rfam's summary of the family: Transfer RNA (tRNA) molecules are approximately 80 nucleotides in length. Lineage: Eukaryota; Metazoa; Chordata; Mammalia; Rodentia; Heteromyidae. The record is from Rfam by way of RNAcentral.
GGGACUGUGGCAUAGUGGUAAAGUGCUUGCCUAGCAUGCAUGAAGCCCUGGGUUCGAUUCCUCAGUACCA